GCUCCUUAAACUGUGUCAAACACCACGAAUGAUGCCAAAGACGGCCAGACAACGAUUUAAGGUACGAAAGGCUACUUGUAUAGUGCAACUUAAGAUUAGUCACUGCGGAUUGAUGUCAUAUGAAGCCAUGAGAAACCCCAGAGGGAAAACAAAUGCGUCAAUUCAUUCCGGGGUGCCGUGAUAAAUAGUGGCCCCUCAGCGUGUGGAAGGUAGAAUUUUGUAAAAGCACUUUCAGUGAAUAGCAGCGACUCGUAGCUGCUGAAGAAAAGAAAGUUCCAGAGUCCCGUACAAUGGGACGAGAAUUUAGGUAGGCAUCUUUCUUUACUGUUGGAAAGCAUUUAGGAGCUGCAACGUUAUUCAUUUUGGGCCAUAGCAAACCUAGGCCAACACGCAUUUGAUGCCUCAUUCUUUUGCACCCAGGAUGUCAAAUCGGCACCACACUAAUCAUGACACUAGCAUCAACGACUUCGUCAACGGAUGUAAGCAGUAUCUCCAAUUGACAACUUGGCUGCCGUGAAACAUAAUCCUAUGCGGUACCUUCCUACCGCACGUGGCCACGGGCAUUAUUGAGCUCCCACCUAAGUCAACCGUUAGGUAAUCGCUUUGAAGCGUGCCGAAUUAUCAGAUAGCGCACGUCGGUGCCUGUAACGUGCGCCUUCUAGUAUCACCGCAUGGACGCCCAAGCCGGGGUCUCUGUUGAAAGCAAGCCCUUCAUUGGACCACCAAGAUGCUGUUCGUUUCCCCCUGCAAUCACGUACAACAGCAAAGGGACAGUGGGACCGCAUGUUAAGAAGGAGGAAAAGCCUGACGGCAACACACCCAGGGUGCAUGCGUUGACAUCCGUCACGAACGUUCGCAUUAUAAAUGUGAAGUGGCGGGGACAUCUCCACCCGCAUGCUCUCCACCCAGCAAUCCCAGCCCAAUAGACAGCGGCUGCCUUCACUAUCCCCAUCUUGGCCUCCACAACACCCCAUCCUCCCUACCCACACGCACAUGGUGCUCUUGCUCCCCUCCACACAAGUACACCACAUCCGGAGAUAAGAACAUUUCCUCCCACCUAUGCCUUCGUUCCCCUUCUUCCUUCCCCGCUACCCACUACUUUACAACCCCUUUUUUCUUUCCUCCUGGCCCCAAAACACGGAUGCACCCACGCACCAGCUCAUCGUUCUCUGUGGGCCAGUCACUCGCCAGCCGCCAUCCACCGUCCACCUGGAACUUCACCUUAUAGCGCCCCGGCAGCAGCGGCAGAUCUGCCUC
This 1257-nucleotide long non-coding RNA is filed under the name Volvox carteri. RNAcentral's name for it is "long non-coding RNA (VCAR_LNC002564)". The record is from RNAcentral. Lineage: Eukaryota; Viridiplantae; Chlorophyta; Chlorophyceae; Chlamydomonadales; Volvocaceae.